Molecule: ribosomal RNA, 489 nt
Filed under: uncultured bacterium
Lineage: Bacteria
Description: partial 16S ribosomal RNA
Rfam family: Bacterial small subunit ribosomal RNA
Source: RNAcentral
AUUGAACGCUGGCGGCAGGCCUAACACAUGCAAGUCGAAUGGUAACAGGAAACAGCUUGCUGUUUCGCUGACGAGUGGCGGACGGGUGAGUAAUGUCUGGGAAACUGCCUGAUGGAGGGGGAUAACUACUGGAAACGGUAGCUAAUACCGCAUAACGUCGCAAGACCAAAGAGGGGGACCUUCGGGCCUCUUGCCAUCAGAUGUGCCCAGAUGGGAUUAGCUAGUAGGUGGGGUAACGGCUCACCUAGGCGACGAUCCCUAGCUGGUCUGAGAGGAUGACCAGCCACACUGGAACUGAGACACGGUCCAGACUCCUACGGGAGGCAGCAGUGGGGAAUAUUGCACAAUGGGCGCAAGCCUGAUGCAGCCAUGCCGCGUGUAUGAAGAAGGCCUUCGGGUUGUAAAGUACUUUCAGCGGGGAGGAAGGGAGUAAAGUUAAUACCUUUGCUCAUGGACGUUACCCGCAGAAGAAACACCGGCUAACUCCGU